GGGGGGGGGGGGUGAAGUAAUGGCCACGCGAUAAGCCACAAUAGGACGCUGUUUGGUUUGUUUGUUUGUUUGUCUCUACGUCUUCUUUCUUCCUUUACCCUCACAUUGCUUGUUCGUGCUCCAUUUAGUACGCGGUGUAUAAUAUUUGUUCGUGUUCCAUUUACUACGUGGUGUAUAUAUUUCUUCGUGUUUCAUUUAGUACGCGGUUUAUAUUUCAUCGUGUGUUCCAUUUAGUACGCGGUCCAGGUUUAUUUGAGUUCCAUUUAGUACGCGGUCUAAGUUUCUGUGCGUUCCAUUUAGUACGCGGUCUAUAUUUCUUCGUGUUCCAUUUAGUACGCGGUUUGUGUUUCUUCGCGUGUUCCAUUUAGUACGCGGCCUUUAUCUUUCUUCGUGUUUCAUUUAGUACGCGGUUUAAGUUUAUUUGUGCGUUCCAUUUAGUACGCGGUCUUUAUCUUUCUCCUUGUCCCAUUUAGUCCGUGGUCCAUGUUCCUUCAUGUGUUCCAAUUAGUACGCGGUUUAGGUUUCUUCGUGGUCCAUUUAGUACGCGGUGUCUCAUUAGCAUCUUCUCUAUGUCUUUAUUUGAUGCCGCCGCCACAGCAUCCGCCCUCACCACAGAGACGCCGCCCUGUAUGUGGUUACGCUCCGCUUAACACCAGAGAAGAAAAAAAAAGACGCAAAAAACUUAAUGAAUGGCCGCUAACAUAAGGUAAGGCGCAGAUAUUAGUACCCGAUCCCUUUAUGAUAUGGCCGCUAACACAAGGCAAGGCGCAGAUAUUAGUACCCGAUCCCUUUAUGCUAUGGCCGCUAACACAAGGCAAGGCGUAGAUAUAAGUACCCGAUCCCUUUAUGAUAUGGCCGCUAACAUAAGGUAAGGCGCAGAUAUUAGUACGCGAUCCCUUUAUGAUAUGGCCGCUAACACAAGGUAAGGCACAGAUAUUAGUACCCGAUCCCUUUAUGAUAUGGCCGCUAACACAAGGUAAGGCGCAGAUAUUAGUACCCGAUCCCUUUAUGAUAUGGCCGCUAACACAAGAUAAGGCGUAGAUAUUAGUACCCGAUCCCUUUAUGAUGUGGCCGCUAACACAAGGUAAGGCGCAGAUAUCAGUACCCGAUCCCUUUAUGAUAUGGCCGCUAACACAAGAUAAGGCGUAGAUAUUAGUACCCGAUCCCUUUAUGAUAUGGCCGCUAACACAAGAUAAGGCGUAGAUAUUAGUACCCGAUCCCUUUAUGAUAUGGCCGCUAACACAAGGUAAGGCGCAGAUAUCAGUACCCGAUCCCUUUAUGAUAUGGCCGCUAACACAAGGUAAGGCGCAGAUAUCAGUACCCGAUCCCUUUAUGAUAUGGCCGCUAACACAAGGUAAGGCGCAGAUAUUAGUACCCGAUCCCUUUAUGAUAUGGCCGCUAACACAAGGCAAGGCGCAGAUAUUAGUACCCGAUCCCUUUAUGAUAUGGCCGCUAACAUAAGGUAAGGCGCAGAUAUUAGUACCCGAUCCCUUUAUGAUAUGGCCGCUAACAUAAGGUAAGGGGCAGAUAUUAGUACCCGAUCCCUUUAUGAUAUGGCCGCUAACAUAAGGUAAGGGGCAGAUAUUAGUACCCGAUCCCUUUAUGAUAUGGCCGCUAACACAAGGUAAGGCGCAGAUAUUAGUACCCGAUCCCUUUAUGAUAUGGCCGCUAACAUAAGGUAAGGCGCAGAUAUUAGUACCCGAUCCCUUUAUGAUAUGGCCGCUAACAUAAGGUAAGGCGCAGAUAUUAGUACCCGAUCCCUUUAUGAUAUGGCCGCUAACACAAGGUAAGGCGCAGAUAUCAGUACCCGAUCCCUUUAUGAUAUGGUCGCUAACACAAGGCAAGGCGCAGAUAUCAGUACCCGAUCCCUUUAUGAUAUGGCCGCUAACACAAGGCAAGGCGCAGAUAUUAGUACCCGAUCCCUUUAUGAUAUGGCCGCUAACACAAGGUAAGCCACACCGAUUAUGUAGUACGCGAUCCCUUUACUUGUUUCUCGAUUAGGUUCCUGUACAUGCUCGUCUAUCCUUCCUUUCUUUCUCUCUUUACUUCCUUCCCUUCUUCUUCAUUGUAUUCCUUUAUGCAUUAGCUAUCUUUUCUUAAUUCAUUUUAAUUGCUAUAUCUUAUCUUAUCCUAUAUCUUUCUUCACUUCCGUUCUUUUAUUCUCUCUCUCUCUCUCUCUCUCUCUCUCUCUCUCUCUCUCGUCCCUCCUUCAUUCCUUUCCUCUCUCCCUCCCCUUAAUUCUUACCUCCGUCCAUUAUUUUUCUCUCCAGCAUACUUACAUUACCUCCUCUAAUUAUAUUCUCUCUCUCUCUCUCUCUCUCUCUCUCUCUCUCUGCACCUCAUGAAUGGCCCGUAACACCUGGCGUGCACACUCAAGGUUGAUUGCACCAGCUCACACACAGGCUUAUGAAUGGACCCGGAGAAAACGCGCUAUGCUGUAUGAAUGGAGCCAACAACACGCUGAAACUGGCUCGGCGAUACCAGUACUAGCUCGUAAGGAUCAGGGUUGGUAAGGGUCUACUGCGGUGAUUGGUAACACGUAGCUCCUUCCUAACACUACCGCAUCCACUUGGCAUGUUGUGAACACCUUCAUAUAAAGAGCAUGAAGAUCUUACUGGCGCGUGCAGCCUAUUACAAAUUAGUGGUAAGACUAUAGACACCACAUGGAGCGUGUGUGUGUGUGUGUGUGUGUGUGUGUGUGUGUGUGUGUGCCACAUCAAUUAGUAUACGAGAUUCCUUACUGACUUCUCGAUUAGGUUCCUGUACACGCUCGUCUAUCCUCUCCGUGUGUGUGUGUCAGCAGCGGGUCGACGGCAUUCUGAGGGUGUCUUUGGCCUCAGCCCCGCGUCCCGGUGUUCGCUGUUCGUGGUAAUUAUGUCUCGGCGACCAAUGGCGGACGAGCGGGGCUGGGCACUUGAGUGUGCCUUGUUGCAUCGCCGAGGGCACCGUGUGCUGUGCUUUUUACGUGUUAUCGCGGUGUGGCCGUGGCGGCGGCAGAUAACCAGGCUCUGGCAGACCGGUGUGGGAGGCGCGGCUCUGCGUCACCGGCAGCCAGCCUCCACAGCGCGUGCUGUCCCGAGGGGCGGCGUGUUGGGUGCAGCCAUCUAACGCCUCGUAAGGCCAAGAGGUCACCUCAUGCACAGAGGGACGGUGGCGGGGCGGGGAUACUCUAAAAGAAAAGACAAGACGUGUUGGCCGAGGGACACGUGACGGAGUAGCCAGGCCGAGGCACACCGACGAUCAGGUUAAGGGUUAAUGUCUUAAGGUAAAGAACAAAAAUAAGUGAGUGGGGCGUGACGCGCCGCAGU
Long non-coding RNA from Eriocheir sinensis (Chinese mitten crab), 3308 nucleotides. RefSeq lists it as uncharacterized. NCBI's taxonomy places the organism in Eukaryota, Metazoa, Arthropoda, Malacostraca, Decapoda, Varunidae. The transcript is spliced from 9 exons. The record is from RefSeq and is a predicted model, not a curated record.